RNAcentral lists this ribosomal RNA (253 nucleotides) under uncultured bacterium. RNAcentral describes it as "partial 16S ribosomal RNA". It matches the Rfam family "Bacterial small subunit ribosomal RNA", at positions 524 to 776 of the family's 1533-position model. The record is from RNAcentral.
UACGUAGGGACCAAGCGUUGUUCGGAUUUACUGGGCGUAAAGGGCGCGUAGGCGGCGUGGUAAGUCACUUGUGAAAUCUCUGAGCUUAACUCAGAACGGCCAAGUGAUACUGCUGUGCUAGAGUGCAGAAGGGGCAAUCGGAAUUCUUGGUGUAGCGGUGAAAUGCGUAGAUAUCCGGAAGAACACCGGUGGCGAAGGCGGCCUGCUGGGCAGUAGCUGACACUGAGGCGCGACAGCGUGGGGAGCAAACAGG